Molecule: ribosomal RNA, 2277 nt
Filed under: human metagenome
Description: bacterial LSU rRNA
Rfam family: Bacterial large subunit ribosomal RNA
Source: RNAcentral
AGGGCGUACGGUGGAUGCCUAGGCUCUUACAGGCGAUGAAGGACGUGAUAAGCUGCGAUAAGCUGUGGGUAGGUGCAAAUAACCAUUGAUCCGCAGAUUUCCGAAUGGGACAACCCAGCAGGUUGAAGACCUGUUAUCCCGCGAAUGCGGGAGGCUAACGGGGGGAACUGAAACAUCUUAGUACCCCUAGGAAAAGAAAAUAAUAAUGAUUCCCCUAGUAGUGGCGAGCGAACGGGGAAGAGCCCAAACCAUAUAGAUUUCGGUCUAUAUGGGGUUGUAGGACCACGACGUUGCAAGAAGUACGAUUAGAGGAACGCUUUGGAAAGAGCGACCAUAGAGAGUGACAGUCUCGUACUCGACAAUCGUAUGAAGCAUAGUGGUAUCCUGAGUAGGGCGGGACACGUGAAAUCCUGUCUGAAUCCGGCGGGCCCAUCCGCCAAGGCUAAAUACUCGUAAGAGACCGAUAGCGAACCAGUACCGUGAGGGAAAGGUGAAAAGCACCUCUUUUAGAGGAGUGAAAAAGUUCCUGAAACCGUACGCCUACAAGCGGUCGGAGCACCUUAUGGUGUGACGGCGUGCCUUUUGCAUAAUGAACCUACGAGUUACCGUCGUCGGCAAGGUUAAGUGCUAUGAAGCACGUAAGCCGAAGCGAAAGCGAGUCUGAAUAGGGCGCAUAGUCGGCGGUGGUAGACGCGAAACCAAGUGAUCUACCCUUGUCCAGGUUGAAGUCCCGGUAACACGGGAUGGAGGACCGAACCAAUAAGCGUUGAAAAGCUUCUGGAUGAGGUGAGGGUAGGAGUGAAAGGCCAAUCAAACUUGGAGAUAGCUCGUACUCCCCGAAAUGCAUUUAGGUGCAGCCUCGGGCGUUCCCUGUGUGAGGUAGAGCGACUGAUUGGAUGCGAGGGCUUCACCGCCUAUCAAGUCCAGACAAACUCCGAAUGCACACAGGCUAAGCCCGGGAGUGAGGGCGUGGGUGCUAAGGUCCACGCCCGAGAGGAGAAGAAUCCUGACCACCGGCUAAGGCCCCGAAAUAUAGGCUAAGUUAAACUAACGAAGUGUGGUCCCCGUGACAGCUAGGAUGUUGGCUUGGAAGCAGCCAUUCAUUCAAAGAGUGCGUAACAGCUCACUAGUCGAGGGACUGUGCAUGGAUAAUAAUCGGGUAUAAAGUCUAUUGCCGAAGCCGUGGGAUAUCUAUUUGAUAUCGGUAGGGGAGCAUUCAUGCGGCCUUGAAGAUAGAGGAUAACCUCUGUUGGAGCUUCAUGAAAAGCAAAUGUAGGUAUAAGUAACGAUAAAGAGUGUGAGAUGCACUCUCGCCGAAAGACUAAGGUUUCCAGGGCAACGUUAAUCGUCCCUGGGUCAGUCGGGACCUAAGGUUCAACCUAAUGGUGAUGCCGAUGGCAGAAACGGUUAAUAUUCCGUUACUAUCUUUGUUGGCGAUGUGGAGACGGAGGAGUGACACUUCCGCGAGCUGACGGAAUAGCUCGUUAAAGACCGUAGGUGUUGAGGAUGGCAGGCAAAUCCACCAUCCGAGCUGAAAGUCGAUAGUAUACAGCGUCUUCGGACAAUGUAAUAGUGAAGGUAAUCCUACUCCCGAGAAAAUCCGCUAAGCUUAACAACAAAGAUACCCGUACCGUAAACGGACACACGUAGUCGGGUAGAAUAUACUAAGGCGCUUGGAAGAUUCAUGGUUAAGGAACUAGGCAAAUUGACCCCGUAACUUCGGAAUAAGGGGUCCUCACAGUAAUGUGAGGCGCAGAGAAUCGGCCCAGGCAACUGUUUAACAAAAACACAGGGCUGUGCAAAAUCGAAAGAUGCAGUAUACAGUCUGACACCUGCCCGGUGCUGGAAGGUUAAGAGGAGAGCUUAGAUGCAAGUCGAAGGUUUGAAUUGAAGCCCCAGUAAACGGCGGCCGUAACUAUAACGGUCCUAAGGUAGCGAAAUUCCUUGUCGGGUAAGUUCCGACCUGCACGAAUGGUGUAAUGAUCUGGGCACUGUCUCAACCAUGAUUCCAGUGAAAUUGUAGUAUCGGUGAAGAUGCCGAUUACCCGCGAUGGGACGAAAAGACCCCGUGAACCUUUACUAUAGCUUAACGUUGUAAUUGGGCAGUCGAUGUGUAGGAUAGGUCGGAGGCUUUGAAGCAGGCACGCCAGUGUUUGUGGAGCCGCUGUUGAAAUACGACCCUUUGGCUGUCUGGUUCCUAACUCUCAGAUGAGAGGACCGCGUUUGGUGGGUAGUUUGACUGGGGUGGUCGCCUCCAAAAGCGUAACGGAGGCUUCU